Chelonoidis abingdonii (Abingdon island giant tortoise) is the source of this 106-nucleotide small nucleolar RNA. Lineage: Eukaryota; Metazoa; Chordata; Testudines; Testudinidae. The record is from Ensembl.
AAUUGGAGUGAUGAGAACUUCACCUUAGGUGGGUACUAUGAACCGUUUUGGUUGCAAUUACAGCACCUGCCAGUGCUAGGAUCUGUCAUAGUUACACUGACCAUAU